RNAcentral lists this ribosomal RNA (532 nucleotides) under uncultured Glomus. RNAcentral's name for it is "SSU rRNA". It matches the Rfam family "Eukaryotic small subunit ribosomal RNA", at positions 561 to 1092 of the family's 1831-position model. The record is from RNAcentral. Lineage: Eukaryota; Fungi; Glomeromycota; Glomeromycetes; Glomerales; Glomeraceae.
CUGGUGCCAGCAGCCGCGGUAAUUCCAGCUCCAAUAGCGUAUAUUAAAGUUGUUGCAGUUAAAAAGCUCGUAGUUGAAUUUCGGGGUCAGUAGGUUGGUCGUGCCACCGGUACGUACUGGUCUCACUGAUUCCUCCUUCCUGAUGAGCCGUAAUGCCAUUAAUUUGGUGUUGCGGGGAGACUGGACUGUUACUUUGAAAAAAUUAGAGUGUUUAAAGCAGGCUAACGCUUGAAUACAUUAGCAUGGAAUAAUGAAAUAGGACGUUCGAUCUUAUUUUGUUAGGUUUCUAAGAUUGACGUAAUGAUUAAUAGGGAUAGUUGGGGGCAUUAGUAUUCAAUUGUCAGAGGUGAAAUUCUUGGAUUUAUUGAAGACUAACUACUGCGAAAGCAUUUGCCAAGGAUGUUUUCAUUAAUCAAGAACGAAAGUUAGGGGGAUCGAAGACGAUCAGAUACCGUCGUAGUCUUAACCAUAAACUAUGCCGACUAGGGAUCGGAUGAUGUUAAUUUUUUAAUGACUCAUUCGGCGCCUUACG